This 261-nucleotide ribosomal RNA is filed under the name uncultured prokaryote. Its description in RNAcentral is "partial 16S ribosomal RNA". It matches the Rfam family "Bacterial small subunit ribosomal RNA", at positions 524 to 784 of the family's 1533-position model. The record is from RNAcentral.
UACGUAGGUGGCGAGCGUUAUCCGGAAUUAUUGGGCGUAAAGAGCGCGCAGGUGGUUGAUUAAGUCUGAUGUGAAAGCCCACGGCUUAACCGUGGAGGGUCAUUGGAAACUGGUAGACUUGAGUGCAGAAGAGGGAAGUGGAAUUCCAUGUGUAGCGGUGAAAUGCGUAGAGAUAUGGAGGAACACCAGUGGCGAAGGCGGCUUCCUGGUCUGUAACUGACACUGAGGCGCGAAAGCGUGGGGAGCAAACAGGAUUAGAUA